RNAcentral lists this ribosomal RNA (619 nucleotides) under uncultured bacterium. RNAcentral's name for it is "bacterial SSU rRNA". It matches the Rfam family "Bacterial small subunit ribosomal RNA", at positions 91 to 691 of the family's 1533-position model. The record is from RNAcentral.
GGGCAUGGCAGACGGGUGAGUAACGCGUGGGGAAUCUACCUCUUUGUGGGGAAUAACGCUCCGAAAGGAGUGGUAAUACCGCAUGAGAUCCAUGGCUGGAAUGUUGUGGAUGAAACCUGGGGACCUUCGGGCCUGGGGCAAGGAGAGGAUCCUGCGUCUGAUUAGCUAGUUGGUGAGGUAACGGCCCACCAAGGCAACGAUCAGUAGCUGGCCUGAGAGGGUGAUCGGCCACACUGGAACUGAGACACGGUCCAGACUCCUACGGGAGGCAGCAGUGGGGAAUUUUGCGCAAUGGGCGAAAGCCUGACGCAGCAACGCCGCGUGGGUGAUGAAGGUCUUCGGAUCGUAAAACCCUGUCGUCGGGGACGAAGGUGUGGGGGUUAAUAGCCUUUGCAUUUGACGGUACCCGGAGAGGAAGCCCCGGCUAACUCUGUGCCAGCAGCCGCGGUAAUACAGAGGGGGCAAGCGUUAUUCGGAAUUAUUGGGCGUAAAGGGCGCGUAGGCGGCUUUUUAAGUGAGAUGUGUAAUCCCCGAGCUCAACUUGGGAACUGCAUCUCAUACUGGGAGGCUAGAGUACUGGAGAGGGUGGUAGAAUUCCACGUGUAGCGGUGAAAUGCGU